GGGGGAGCCGGGGGCUGGCGCCGGGCCGGGCCGCGCAGGCGUAUCUUUCAGAAUAAACACGGGAAACUUCUCGUUGGAAGUGCAGGUGGAAGGCAGGCCCGGCUGGCUCCUGGCAUGUCACGAGCGGUGGAAUCUCUCCCUGGGGACUCUGAUCUGUAGGCAGCUGGGAUACCUCCAGUGAUGACAUUUGCUGUUGCUUCUGCAGACUCGCCCACCACAAAGGAGUGAACUGACAGAUGUCAAGGUGAACGAUACGCAAGAGUUUGUUCAGAUUGUACCCAACCAGAAGAGCAGCAUUGAAGACGUGUGGCAGGUCAGGAGCAGCUGUGCUUCAGGGCGAAUUGUGGCUCUGAAGUGCUCCGAGUGCGGCCUGCGCUCCAGGACAGCCCGGAUAGUGGGGGGAAGCGACGCCCCGUUGGGACGCUGGCCGUGGCAGGUCAGCCUGUACCUCAACUCCAGACACGUGUGCGGAGGCUCCGUGGUGGCGCACGACUGGAUCGUCACGGCCGCUCACUGUGUGCACAAUUACAGGCGGCCACAGGUCUCCAGCUGGCUGGUCUUUGCAGGGAUUAUCGCCCACGUGUCAGUCCCACAGCAGGCCCGUGCGGUGGUGGAGAAAAUCAUCCACCACCCCCACUAUGACGACAGGAGUCACGACUAUGACAUCGCACUGAUGAAACUCAGAGCGCCCUUGAACUUCUCCGCUGUGUUGCUUCACCUCCCAGAGAGAAGUCAGUCUGAAGAAGGGGGAAUGUUAGCUAUAUUUCUACCUUUACCAUAAGGGUGCAGGGCCUAUUCUCCCUUUCAGUAAGUUCUGCAGAGAGGAUCAGGCCAGUGCUGGCAGUUCACAUGGGCCUUGGCUCUAAGAUGUCAUAGUUUUGGAUUACUGUGGUACAGGCCUCUUGCAGCUGGCCCUCCUGAAUCCUAGCUGAGCCAACUUCAGGCAUCUUUCUCUGCAGCUGUGUUAAUAAGCAUGGGGCAGCAGCCCUUUGAGUUUAGAGGCUAGCAGUGUGGUUUCCUUAGAUGGUGGUUGCUUUGUGGAAGCAGAAAGGAGAGAGCACAGUACAGGCUUUGCCACUUACACGAAAAAUCCAGAAGGUGGGUACACAUUCAUUUAUACUGCACCCAAACAGGGUGUUUGGUUGUUGCCACAGGAAAGGGACACACCACAGUGUUUCUGCUCUGAAGAGCAGGUACUUAAUUUUAGCUACACCAGAGCUGGUGGGAGAGGGAGAACAGCUAGUGGUUAUCCUAGGAGAUCACUUUGGUAAAGGGCUCUGCAGCUGUUUAGAUAAUUGCAGUAGAGCUGAUUUCUACUAGCACCCUGAGGCUUCCAACUCCUGCAGCCUCAUCUGAAUCUUUGGGAAAGCCCAUUUACUGGAGCCAGCAGCCACCUAUCUUCCUGAUGGCCUUGCAGGGUAGAAGGCCCAUGCUCUUUGCUCAAUCUAUUACUACUUGACAAGUCUCCCCCACCCCUUCUCUGGGGUCCUAUCAGCCCAUGGCUCAGUUCUCUGCUCUCCCUAUGAGAGGCUGAGGUCAACCAGCAUGUACAGGUUACCUGCAAAGAAUCCUCCAUCCUUCACUUUUAGAGUAUACAAAUAGUCUCAAAGGCUUAGCUGUACAGUAGCAAUACUCAGGUCCCAGUGGUUCAGGAGCCAAAUUAGCAAUCAUUACCCCAAAAAAGCCCCAGUGGUGUGAAUUUGUUUCAUUUACUAUAGCUUCAUAUUUAAACAGUAUGGGACAGGAAAAUCUUUAGUUGUUCUAUGUUUACAGCCCCAUCAAUGGCUUUGUGCAAAUGAAUAUAGUAAGAGCAUUGAGUGGUCAAUUAAAUCAGUGUUUUAAUUGGUGCUGCAAAGAGCUACUUGCAGCUUCCAAGCUGUGAUCAAACUACACCUGCUCUACCAGGUGAGGUCUCAGCACCUGGUUUCCCUGAGCCUUGCUGGAGAACCAGGGGGAUAGUGUUCUUAGGGAGGGUUGGCCAAGCAACUGAGGGAUUUUAAAUCCAAUGCCAAAACCUCCAACUCAGAACCUCAUAAGCAAUGGGAGAACCCCCACUACAGCAGGUUCUGUCAGGGACUUUAGCCCCCACAACAAAGUUUGUUGUUUGACUGCAAAGAGACAGGCACCACCAGCAAGGUCCUAUCAAAAGCUCUUUAUUGACAAGUGUACUCAUCAAUAGAGAGCAGCUUGUCUUUAAAGAGAACUAGCCCCCCCUUUACAUUUUAGUAUCAGCUUAUAUAGUUUUAUUACAUCAUAAUAUAUUCAUUUGAGCAACCCAUUCCCUUUUUUUAAACUAGAAACUAGACACCUUUAAUAUACACACAUGCCUAGUUUCCUAUGUUUACAGUAUUAGAUUAAUAUUUUAACAAGCACCAAAAGUUAGGAAUGUAGGGGAGUUAAAAUCAAACUGAAAACUAAAUCAGGGAAUGAGUAAGAACAUUGGGAAGCUGGGGUUUUUUAUUAGUUUUUAAACACUUUUUAACACAGCACAGCUGGUACUCUGCCAGGAAUGCAGCCCCUCACUUAUUUUAAUUUUUCAGUGCUUUGUGAGACAUGCUGUUUUUGGUAUUUUUUUACUUGGUGAUUACCCAGAAUCCCUUGUUAGCCUGACUUCGGUCAGGUUGGCAUAACUGGUUUUGUGCUACAUUUCUGUUUAGGCCUAACAAUUCCAAGUUUUGCUACAAGCUUCUCUCCCACCCCCCUUCCCAAAAGAAAAAUCCAACACACUUG
Mauremys mutica (yellowpond turtle) is the source of this 2730-nucleotide long non-coding RNA. RefSeq lists it as uncharacterized. The record is from RefSeq and is a predicted model, not a curated record. NCBI's taxonomy places the organism in Eukaryota, Metazoa, Chordata, Testudines, Geoemydidae. The transcript is spliced from 7 exons.